This is a long non-coding RNA of Glycine soja, 2473 nucleotides long. RefSeq lists it as uncharacterized. The transcript has 8 exons. NCBI's taxonomy places the organism in Eukaryota, Viridiplantae, Streptophyta, Magnoliopsida, Fabales, Fabaceae. The record is from RefSeq and is a predicted model, not a curated record.
CCUCCACUAUUCAUUUCUCCCUUGCUUGACUCUUCAUUUCUCCGUCCACUAUUUCCCUCCACUCUUUUUUUCCUCUUCCUUUUGGGUCUGGAGCUUGAUCUCCACUCCAUUCGCUGGAGUGACUGAAAAGCAUUUUGCAUCGCUGCCGUCGGGACCUCUCUUCCUUUCAUAUGCGGCAUCGGCAUCGUCAUCAUCCUCCACAAAACUAUGGAUGGCGUUGACAAAGUCGGUACCUUCAUCACCGCCACUGCCACGAGAGCAAAAAAUGCACCGAAGAGAUUAAAUUCGAUGAUCGAACAAUUGGUGCGAUUCCUUCUCCAACUCCGCACGGGCAUCUCCCUGACGACGACAAUGUGGAGGAGGGAGAGAUCCUUGAAGAUGAGGUUCUCGACGGCGAGGUUGGGAAACAAGAGACGGAAUCUGAUGCUGAACCCGGUGAAAUCAAGGUGACAAGAGAUCGAGAUGUUUGAUAUGAUAAUCAAAAUUUGUGUAUCUCAGUUACUCUUGGUGGCCAAACAGAGCACUGUGAUUCUUUGUUUUCGGACGAGUUUUUUUUUUAUUCUUGAGAGCUUUGGUAUAGUACCCUGUCAGUGUCUCAUAGAUAUGUAAGAACCUGGUUGCACUACACGAACAUGAGUGAAUUGCAAAAGAAGUCUCUCUAGGUGUUUCAGUGAAGACUGGUGGCUUACAGUUAAUUUGGACACCUUACUAAAAUUUCAGUAACUAGAAAUGAGGACAUUAGGGAUGAUAAAUUUAUUAGUCCUGCAAUCAAUGCACAAGAUGAUGUCUCUCGUAAUUGUUCAAGUUUUGAGACUCGGGAUGGAAAGCAUGCUCAAGCUUGUACAGAUGGCGUGGGCAAUGGUUUUUUGGAUCCUAAAUCUUCCAAAGGGGAUAAGUGGCACAAUGGGGAACUUGGACAUUUUAAAAGUAAUGAGAAACUAAAAGGAGACUUUGAUGAUGAAACACUGGAGGCUAAUGUGAGGAAAGCACAUUACAAUAGGAAUUCAUCCUCUGAAAGUGGAGGCUAAUGUGAGGAAAGCACAUCACAAUCGAGAGGCCAAGGAUAGAGAUAGGAGUAGGGAUAGAGAUGUGGAUAGAGACUUGCACAAAUAAAAGAAACAAGAGGAUAGGCAUCUGCGUUAUGAGGAUGGUAAUGACAACGGAGAUAGAUAUAGAAAACAUUCAAGGCAUGAAGAAAAUGAAUACCAUUGGGAAAGAAAAAGAAAUUCUGAUAAUCAUGUAAAGGUUUAUAAUUCAAUGGGAAGCACUGCAUAAGUGGAUGAAAGCAAACUAACAAGGUUUAUAACAUUCAAGGCAUGAAGAAAAUGAAUACCAUUGGGAAAGAAAAUGAAAUUCUGAUAAUCCUGUAAAGGUUUAUAAUUCAAUGGGAAGCACUGCAGAAGUGGAUGAAAGCAAACUAACAAGUAAGGUUGAACCAGAUGACUUAGAGGAGGAUACAUUGCAAUUGCCUGAGCAAGAAGAGGAAGAUCUCAACAGGAUCAAAGAAGAGAGUAGAAGAAGAAGGGAAACAAUAAUGGAGAAAUACAAGAAGCAGCAUCAACAAGUAGAAGCAGUGGUUAGAAACGAAGGAAAAGGUCAGGGGGUGCUUUGAAUGAACAUGCUAUUGACAAUCCAGAGGAGAUUGCUUCCAUGGUUGAUGAUGUCCAGAUAGAACUAGGGACUCCAAUUCCACCAAUCUUGCUAAUCUACUACCGGUUUGAAGUUUCUGCUGCAAGAGGAAUUAAACUUGGACUAACAUUUUUCUUCUCACGGUCCAAAUGUAGCAACACAACUUUGCCUCUUCCAAGGACAUUAUACAAUCAUGGUUCCUUAAGACUCGCCUUCCUCUUUUAGAAGAGAAUGCCCUUAAUACAGACUUGCAACUACAAUCUACAAGGAAGUUUUUUUCUAACUCAACUUUAUAGUUAAACAAUGUUUUUCACAAUUUAUGAAUAAAUUUUAACUUAAAUAAGAUAUGCUUAAUUGUUCAUUGCCUAUAGGUAAAAAAAGACUUCAAGGAGUUGGUUAUGAAUAUCACAAUCUUUUUCCAAUAUUAAGAUAAUUGACCAACGUGACAGAGGUCUUGGAGAUGUUUGAUCAUUUGGUUAGCCAAUGACAGAAGCAUAAAGAGGGAGAGUAGUCGUGAGAAUAAUUUGAUGGAACACCUGUUUCAAGCAUGUGAUACUUCAUGAGUGGUUGAUGUUCAACUGUUGGUUUGGCCUAUUGGUCUUCCACUACCCUAUGUCAAAGGUGAAUUUAUGAUUAUUUUGUAACUUUAGGAAUAUAUGCUAUGCCAAAGGUGAAUUUAUGGUUAUUUUGUAACUUUGUCUAUAAUUUAAUUUGGACUCAAGCAUGCACUAUAAUUGAUUAGUGUGUAACGGAAGUGUGUAGCAGUCACUUUGUUUACAAUUAGUUUUAAUGCUAUCAUAACAUUAGACCAUGUUUGAUCAUGUUGUAUGCAACUUAGUAUCCA